GACGAACGCUGGCGGCGCGCCUAACACAUGCAAGUCGAACGAGCGCGAGGGAGCUUGCUUUCUCGAGCGAGUGGCGAACGGGUGAGUAACACGUGAGGAACCUGCCUCAAAGGGGGGGACAACAGUUGGAAACGACUGCUAAUACCGCAUAAGCCCACGGUGCCGCAUGGCACAGAGGGAAAAGGUGCAAGCCGCUUUGAGAUGGCCUCGCGUCCGAUUAGCUAGUUGGUGAGGUAAUGGCCCACCAAGGCGACGAUCGGUAGCCGGACUGAGAGGCUGAACGGCCACAUUGGGACUGAGACACGGCCCAGACUCCUACGGGAGGCAGCAGAGGGGAAUAUUGCACAAUGGGGGAAACCCUGAUGCAGCGACGCCGCGUGGAGGAAGAAGGUCUGCGGAUUGUAAACUCCUGUUGUUGGGGAAGAUAAUGACGGUACCCAACAAAGAAGUGACGGCUAACUACGUG
This 466-nucleotide ribosomal RNA is filed under the name uncultured bacterium. Its description in RNAcentral is "partial 16S ribosomal RNA". It matches the Rfam family "Bacterial small subunit ribosomal RNA", at positions 28 to 507 of the family's 1533-position model. The record is from RNAcentral.